CUCUCUCUUUUUUGCCAGUGAUGGCGAUGAUGAUGGUAUCGAUUUUCUCCUACGAUUGAGGCAGACGGCGAAGAUUGAGGGAAGAAUUGAGUGGUCGGAAAUGAGAAUGAUGAUGCAUCUUAUGUAACGAUCGGGAAUGAGAGAGAACACUGCAAAUUAGAGAUCCAAAUUCAAUGGAUGGAGAGUAAUCGAUUCAGCUUGGAUCGUAAUUGGUAAGAGCAUCUACUUAUUUUGUGCGUUAUCAUG
This 246-nucleotide long non-coding RNA is filed under the name Arabidopsis thaliana (thale cress). RNAcentral's name for it is "ncRNA (AT3G03085)". The record is from RNAcentral. Lineage: Eukaryota; Viridiplantae; Streptophyta; Magnoliopsida; Brassicales; Brassicaceae.